RNAcentral lists this long non-coding RNA (690 nucleotides) under Equus caballus (horse). RNAcentral's name for it is "lncRNA (ENSECAG00000052887.1)". The record is from RNAcentral. Lineage: Eukaryota; Metazoa; Chordata; Mammalia; Perissodactyla; Equidae.
CCACAUCCUAAUGCCCAGAAGCUGUGAAUACGUUAACCUUACGUAGUAAAAGGGACCUUGCAGAUCUGAUUAAAUUAAGGGCCUUGAGAUGAAGAGAUUAUCCUCGAUUGUCAGGUGGGCUCAAUCUAAUCACAAGGAGCCUUAUAAGAGGGAGGCAAGAGGAUCAAGGUCAAUAGAAGGAAUUUGACAAUGACCCUGGGGACCAGAAUCUGAAGUGGAGAGACACCCAGAAGAAAGAUAUUUGGAGUUGAUGAAUUCUGAUGGUGGUACACCUGAUCCCCAAAGCUACAGUCUUUCCAUUCCUUCCAGAGGCUUAACAAGAUUGAACAUUCUCACCCAUUUUGGAAUGUGGUGGCAAAGCGACUGACUUUGGCCAACAAAGUAUGAGCAGAACUGACACCUGUCACUUCUGGGAGGAAGUCUGUAAGAGCCAGUGUUAGAUUCACUGUCUCCUUGUCUGCUUUAGCAACAUCGGUGGUCCAGAUAGUGACCUCUCCAUCCACCGGGUCCUAGAGUGAGGGUAAUGCGAUGCUGAGCCCCUAGCUGACCUGAAAUAAAUCUUUGUUGUUUUAAGCCACUGGUAUGUUUUGGAGCUGUUUACAUCUACCACAUAAGCUAGCCUGCCUAGAAUUCCAUGGAAAGCAUUUAACGCCUAGUAACCUGUCAGUCUGGAUGAGUGGUGAGGUCACA